RNAcentral lists this ribosomal RNA (497 nucleotides) under uncultured bacterium. RNAcentral's name for it is "partial 16S ribosomal RNA". It matches the Rfam family "Bacterial small subunit ribosomal RNA", at positions 28 to 507 of the family's 1533-position model. The record is from RNAcentral.
GAUGAACGCUGGCGGCGUGCCUAAUACAUGCAAGUCGAGCGAACAGACGAGGAGCUUGCUCCUCUGACGUUAGCGGCGGACGGGUGAGUAACACGUGGAUAACCUACCUAUAAGACUGGGAUAACUUCGGGAAACCGGAGCUAAUACCGGAUAAUAUAUUGAACCGCAUGGUUCAAUAGUGAAAGACGGAUUUGCUGUCACUUAUAGAUGGAUCCGCGCCGCAUUAGCUAGUUGGUAAGGUAACGGCUUACCAAGGCAACGAUGCGUAGCCGACCUGAGAGGGUGAUCAGCCACACUGGAACUGAGACACGGUCCAGACUCCUACGGGAGGCAGCAGUAGGGAAUCUUCCGCAAUGGGCGAAAGCCUGACGGAGCAACGCCGCGUGAGUGAUGAAGGUCUUCGGAUCGUAAAACUCUGUUAGUAGGGAAGAACAAAUGUGUAAGUAACUAUGCACGUCUUGACGGUACCUAAUCAGAAAGCCACGGCUAACUACGUG